RNAcentral lists this non-coding RNA (27 nucleotides) under Bombyx mori (domestic silkworm). Lineage: Eukaryota; Metazoa; Arthropoda; Insecta; Lepidoptera; Bombycidae. The record is from RNAcentral.
AAAUCACAGAUGAGUGGAUUGGGUCAU